This 347-nucleotide transfer-messenger RNA is filed under the name Candidatus Zixiibacteriota bacterium. RNAcentral describes it as "partial transfer-messenger RNA". It matches the Rfam family "transfer-messenger RNA". Rfam says of the family: Bacterial tmRNA, also known as 10Sa RNA or SsrA, is named for its dual tRNA and mRNA-like properties. Its role is to liberate the mRNA from a stalled ribosome. To accomplish this part of the tmRNA is used as a reading frame that ends in a translation stop signal. The record is from RNAcentral. Lineage: Bacteria; Pseudomonadati; Candidatus Zixiibacteriota.
AAACGGCUUCGACGGGGAUAGAGAAGCUUCGGCUGCAUAUCGAGUGCCUGCUAACUCGUAAAAAUGGUGGGAAAAUAUAUAAUCGCAGACGAUUAUGAAUAUGCCCUGGCCGCUUAAAUAGGCCAGCGUCCUGCCAGAUUUUUCCUGCGUAUCUGGUAAGGGCGUCGACUAGCGGAAUAGCCGAUUUUGAUUGCCUGUUGCUUAAUCGGCGAAACUCUAACAGGAUAAGCCUUCAGUCAUCCGGCCUGAUGGAGAACUGAAGGACGAAAACCAAAUAUCAGGAUAAGUAUGUAGAUGCCUGUGUGGAAUAUUUUCGGACGCGGGUUCGACUCCCGCCGCCUCCACUA